UCCAGGUUAUCCCUGGCGGUCUCCUGCGAGUUCCGUACAUGUCAAGGGUAGGUAAGGUUUUUCGCGUUGCGUCGAAUUAAACCACAUCAUCCACCGCUUGUGCGGGCCCCCGUCAAUUCCUUUGAGUUUUAAUCUUGCGACCGUACUCCCCAGGCGGAUGACUUCUCGCGUUAGCUGCGUUACUAAAGGAUUUAACUCCUCCAACAACUAGUCAUCAUCGUUUAGGGCGUGGACUAC
This 237-nucleotide unclassified non-coding RNA is filed under the name uncultured Gammaproteobacteria bacterium. RNAcentral describes it as "contains 16S-23S intergenic spacer region". Lineage: Bacteria; Pseudomonadati; Pseudomonadota; Gammaproteobacteria. The record is from RNAcentral.